GGACGUGCUGGGAAAAGACCUGAGGCUGCGCCAGCUCCUGCGGCAGAAGCGCCUGGCGGCCUCUCUGGAUGCCUAGGGUCGGCAGCGUCGGUGCCGUCCAUGUCCUGUCCACCUCCGGCGGCACGAGGAGAUGAUCGUCCCUGGAGGAGCCCCCCGAUCCCCUCUGAGCCCGGGGCCAUUUCCCCUCAAUAAUCAAUAAACCCUUUCAGCAGA
Prinia subflava (tawny-flanked prinia) is the source of this 213-nucleotide long non-coding RNA. RefSeq lists it as uncharacterized. The transcript is spliced from 2 exons. The record is from RefSeq and is a predicted model, not a curated record. Lineage: Eukaryota; Metazoa; Chordata; Aves; Passeriformes; Cisticolidae.